RNAcentral lists this unclassified non-coding RNA (1048 nucleotides) under Hevea brasiliensis (rubber tree). Lineage: Eukaryota; Viridiplantae; Streptophyta; Magnoliopsida; Malpighiales; Euphorbiaceae. The record is from RNAcentral.
UCCAAGGCAUUUUACAUGAUUCCAGAUUUGAGUGUGCUAAGUUGGGAUAACAAGUUACCUGCAGCCAUGCUGUUGUUAACCAGGUACAGGAUAUUCUUGAGUCCAGGAUACCCUUACGAGGACAUGUUGCAGAUGUAUCACAAUGUGACAGAUCUUACUAUGUGUUCUUAUCUUCAGCAGUUCCAUGUAUUCAACUGGACUAAAGGGGGAAUGAUCCAACUAAACCAUGGAAAGCCACAGCCUCUUCAGUUUGUCGCUAAUGCUGCUUUCUUGGCAUCACUAUUUGUUGAUUAUUUGAAUGCCACUGGUGUUCCGGGAUUCAACUGCGGUCCCACGUUUGUUUCAUUGAACGAUCUUCGGAGUUUUGCCACCUCCCAGAUAGACUACAUUCUCGGUAAAAAUCCCAUGAAUAUGAGCUACAUUGUGGGAUAUGGCACUAAGUUUCCCAGAAAUGUGCAUCACCGUGGAGCAUCAAUACCCCAUGACAACAAGAGGUACUCGUGCACAGGUGGAUGGAAGUGGCGUGACAGCCGCAAUCCCAAUCCUAAUACCAUUACAGGAGCCAUGGUUGGAGGGCCUGAUAGGUUUGACAACUUCCAUGAUGUGCGAACCAAUUUUAACUACACCGAACCAACCCUAGCUGGAAAUGCAGGGCUAGUUGCUGCACUUGUCUCCCUGACUAGCAGCGGUGGCAUUGGCAUUGAUAAGAAUGCAAUCUUCUCAGCAGUUCCACCACUCUACCCCCAAAGCCCACCCCCUCCUCCACCUUGGAAGCCUUGAACUUCUGAUCAUCCAAUUCAUCCCCAUGGAUAGAGCUUCGUUACAUACCCCUAAUCCUUGUCAGUUUUGUUCUAGAGCUAUUAAUUAUACACAUUGAAGAACAAUAGAACAUAUGAAAUGCUUCAUUCAUAUGGGACUCUCUGAAACAUACUGUUUUACAUACACACUAUUAUACACAGACUUAAUUGGUUUUCCUACAUGUUAUUAAUUCAACCUAUUGUUUUUGAAGUGCUUUCACACAGUUUUCAAGAUUUGUGAGAUGGAACCA